RNAcentral lists this long non-coding RNA (2522 nucleotides) under Canis lupus familiaris (dog). Its description in RNAcentral is "lncRNA (ENSCAFG00030003218.1)". Lineage: Eukaryota; Metazoa; Chordata; Mammalia; Carnivora; Canidae. The record is from RNAcentral.
AUGAUGAAUGGAGCAAUAGAAGCUGUAUUCAUCUGGUUGUGUAACUGGUGCUCAGCAGCAGCUGUAGCAACUGUCAACAUCUGUCAAUCUCACCUUGACUUGAUGGUCAAAGGUAAGACAGCUGGAUCAAGCGAUUUAGAAAGUAAAAAUGAAAGAAAACCUGCCCCCAGGGGAGAGUUUGAGUAUUUAGUCUACGGGACAUGGGGCAGACCAGCAGGGUCCCUGAUGGCAUUCGGAAUGCAGCUGCCAGGGGCACAGCAUCCUGGGAACAAAGCCACAUGCUUGGUGAGCCUUCUGGAGACUGCUUCUUAAAAUUCCUGCUUACGAAUAACCAAGAGGAAACUGUCUCAGCAGGAGGAAAUGUCAAAAAAUGCUUACCUAGGAAAUUUGAGAAAACAUUAAAAGAAGUACCUGGCUAUGAAAGUUAAGAAGAUUUGGGGGAAUUUGCACGUAAUCAGUAGUGUGUUCAGCUUCUUUGCCCUCGGUGUGGGGUGACUUUAAGUUUAAUGUAUAUUUUUCUUCUAAUCAAAAGCAAGCAAAGCUGAUUUCUUUGUUACUUUCAGAGGACCAACGAAGGAUGAUGCUUUCUUAAUUUCUGAAAUGUUGAGAGAUGUAGUUGAAAAGUGUAGCUCAUCAAAAAAAAAAAAAAAGAAAGAAAGAAAAAGAAAAGAAAAAAGAAAGAAAAAAAGAAAAAAGUUCAAUAUCAACAAGUUUCUCUGAAACAUAGUUACUUUUCAUCUUCUUUUUCACCUAAAUCUUCCCCCCCCCAGCCCCCGCUCUCAGAGCUUAUGGAGUUGGUAAGCUGGCAAGUGUUUUUCUCAACUUUAUAGAGCUGCUACUCCACCUAGCUUGUAAGAGAAAAUCCAGAAUCAAAAGAAUAAAACAGUGUAGGAAGAGGUUGGGAGUGGUAAGCCAGGAGGAAAGGCAAGGGGAAAGUGGGGAAUGUUCAAGAGUGCGCUUGAAGCCUGGAUCUUGACAUACAUGGUCAGCUGAUAUGGAUUCUCUGCCCUUGUUAGGCAUGUAGAAUUGCAUAACGAAAUCUACAAAUGAAAUUGAAUAAGACAAUGAAAUGGUAGUCCCCAUGGCAGGAAUAAGAAGGAGUAGGCCAGUCAAUACCACUCCCAACCCCCAACCUGGCAGAUGUGGCAGUUUCGCUGGAAGCUGGGGCCAUCAGGCCUGGGCAUGGGGCUGUGAGCUGGGGUUAAGGUUCUAUUGCCCUAAUGGGGAUGAAGGGGAGGAGGCCUGUUUGCGGAGGAAGCCCUAGCUGAAAUUCAUGUUGUACACUUGGGAUCUUCAAAGGGUCUCUCAAUUCGUAAAAAUGGAAAAAUCUAUCUCCUGGCUCAGAGACAUGACAAGAAAGCACAGUGUCUGUCUCAGGCUCUAAAUGGAUUUUUAAAAAUCAGAAGAACAUAUUCUUUGAGAAAUCUAAACACCCCAUCUACACCAAACAUGGGGGUGAGUUCUAAGCUUAUAUGUAUGGUGUGGUAACCCCAAGCUGAGAAGUUAACAUAAAGUGGUCCAGGAUUCAUUGUGCUCUUGGCAGAAGAGUAAAACACUAUUCUGUAGGACCAUCCGGACUAUAUAAAACACUCUCAGCAAAGACCAUUGAGGAAGAAUUCACAAUAAAAAAAAUAAUUAUAAUUCAGACAAGGGGGAAAAAAGAACUAUAAAGGAGAAUCAUCAAGACAAUGUGCAGGAGAAUUAGCACCCCAAGAAUAGAAGUGCAGAAAUAAAGCAACUGAAAGAGAUUGUAGGGUAAGAUCUAAGAUCCUUUAAUGGUUUGGAGAAAGGCAGAGAGGCUGAUGAACUAUAUUGAGUACGUUUCUUACAAUAUAAGGAAAAAAAUGUAAAACUUUGAAGCAAAUUGAAGAAAAAUAAGAAAAAGGCCAAAUCAUUCAACAGAAGGCAAUAAAGGAGAAAAAAAAUAGAGAAUGACAAUUAAAAAGCAAGCAGCAGAAGAUAGUUUAGAUAUACUAGUAAUUCCAAUAAAUGCAAAUGUACUAAACCUCUUUGUUAAAAGAGAUUCAUGGGUUAGAAUAAAACAACCAAAUACAUAGGAUUCAUCAUAAGCUAUUUCCAAGAGAUAAAAAUGAUAUCAUAAGGUUGACAAUUGAUGUUGGGGGGGCAGGGCAAGACGGCAGAGGAGAAGGUCCCCAAGUCACCUGUCCCCACCAACUUACCUAGAUAACGUUCAAACCAUCCUGAACACCUACGAAUUCGACCUGAGAUUUAAAGAGAGAACAGCUGGAACGCUAGAGAGAGAAGGGUGUUCGAUUCUAACAAGGUAGGAAGGUGGGGGGGGGGGAUAAAAGUUGGGGAGGGGCACCCCCCAGGAACCGGGCUAAGGCGGCGGCAGGAGCCUGGGGACAGGAGAGCCCAGCCCCGGGGAGUGAGAACUUGAAGAAUCUGCACCAGAUUCUUCCCGGAUGGAAAGGUGCUCGCAGGGACCUCGGGCAGGAUCCCAGGAGGGGCUGUGGAGCCUCCAGUCUCCCAGGGUCACUAACAGAGGAGGGGCGCCCGGG